CCGAGCUUAGCUCAGUUGGCUAGAGCACCUGACUGUAGUGGCCAUCAGGGGGUCCCCGGUUCAAGUCCGGGAGCUCGGACCA
This 82-nucleotide transfer RNA is filed under the name Methanobacteriota archaeon. RNAcentral's name for it is "Euryarchaeota archaeon (marine metagenome) tRNA-Tyr". It matches the Rfam family "tRNA". From Rfam's summary of the family: Transfer RNA (tRNA) molecules are approximately 80 nucleotides in length. Their secondary structure includes four short double-helical elements and three loops (D, anti-codon, and T loops). Lineage: Archaea; Methanobacteriati; Methanobacteriota. The record is from RNAcentral. RNAcentral also lists the same sequence under 2 other names.